Ornithorhynchus anatinus (platypus) is the source of this 1019-nucleotide long non-coding RNA. RefSeq lists it as uncharacterized. Lineage: Eukaryota; Metazoa; Chordata; Mammalia; Monotremata; Ornithorhynchidae. The record is from RefSeq and is a predicted model, not a curated record. The transcript is spliced from 3 exons.
CUGCCCAUGGCCAAUUACACUCUGCUAAAAAUGAACUCUUUCGCCGACCCACCUCCUGGGCUGUCAGUGUUUCCCCUUUUCCUAUUUUAACGUUUGUGUAUAGUGGCAGGCGACAGAUGGUGUAGAUCAGAUCGAUUUGAUUGCAUUAGAUGAUUUUUCCCCCCUCCCCUCCCCAUUCCUUUCUGGAAGCUCGCAUCAGCUGAAGGCUACUGGGAUUCGGAAGCCUGAGAACGCACUGGGGGCAGAGCCAACCAAAGGCACCGAGAUCCCAUCCCGGGGCUUGUUAACACUGAAACGGGGAACGCGGAGGAAAUCAGCUUUCCCUUGCCCAAAGCCACCGCGCAUCAGAUGACUCUCUGGCUUUUACACACAGUUGGAGUUCGGCUUGAAACCGGGAUUUGGAGGGGAUCUAUCGCUACCGGUGACUUUCAAUCAAAGAGCCCGGAACGAGUUGAUGAAACUUAGAGGGGAUAUGGAGCCAAGCAAGUACAGAGGAAGAAAUUAGGAAAGAGCCAGAAACGGACCUACAGCCGCCACUGGAUUUAGAAAGGAAGCUCCUGAGCAACUCUGUGGAUUCUUCUUAGGGAAAUCUAGUUAUGGAUUUAUUGUCCUGAUCAAGCAGCAGAAGCGGGGCAGGAGGAGCUCCGGUAGCAAGAGCCACGGCAGCAGCAGAGACAGCCGACAGACACCAUCAGCCACGGCAGCAGCUUCGUCUUUCUGACUCUCUUCGGUGACGGGUAUUCUUGGGUGGAUAAUACGGAUUACGUUGUUAUUGCUUAAGAAUACGCGUAGUCGAGGAGAGUAUCUGCGGCAGGCAGCGGCCGCCCCCUCCCAGCUCACCAACUGGCCUCUAAACUACUAUAGUAGACAAGGUAGCGCCAUUCUUAUUCUUUUUUAAAAAUCUAUUCCUGCAUCGUGGUUGGUUUCUCCCCUCUCUGCUGUGCUAGAUGAUCUCAUGCUAUUUCUCCACUCAGAAAUGCUCCCUGCCAGCCCGGCGUUUUAUGGCAGAAGGGUGAGUG